GUGCCAGGUCAGGCCGAGGUCGGCGGUCUCGGCGGCCUUGGGCGCCGCCUCCUGGUCGCGGUUCUCGCCCACGUCGGUCACCCC
RNAcentral lists this transfer RNA (84 nucleotides) under Nocardiopsis dassonvillei. RNAcentral describes it as "tRNA-Pro(tgg)". The record is from RNAcentral. Lineage: Bacteria; Bacillati; Actinomycetota; Actinomycetes; Streptosporangiales; Nocardiopsidaceae.